CUUUGCUUUUCUCAAAAUUGUAUUUCCAGUUGAAUGAGUCAAAAAGAAAAUAUCCUUUCCUUUUCCCAUGAUUUUGAGAGAUCUGUUUGCUAAGUCUUCAUGCUUAGUAGGAGAGACAAGGAGUAUUUAUUUUCAGUAUGUGUUGGUAAUUUAUGAGGUUGCUAUAAAUGCAGAGUUUAUGGAAGCAAAAUUGGGCCAUGAAAUAAAAAGGAUUUCAUUCGAAUAUCCAGUCUUAUUAAUUCUUUUUAAUUCUUCACAGAGAAAGAGAUGAGUGAGGAUGCACACAAGAUUUACUAAAUUUUAUGAGGGAGAAAAUCCAGAAAAGCAGCAAAUGCAGGGUUUGAUCCAAGACCAGAGAAAUGAUGCGAGUACCCAAGCGAAGCCCAGGAAGGAUUGUUGUCCACUAUUAAUAGCCUGGUGGAUCAAGGAGUGCCAAUGCAAUGACCCACUGUGUGUAAUUCCCCUGUGUGGCUGGUAUUAAAGGGAGAUAAAAAGAUGCAUCUGACUGUGGAUUUCAGAGCAUUAAAUGCUGUAACUCCGCAAACAUCACCUCUUCUUGUUGAAAUGCCAGAAAUUAUGGCUGUAAUAGUACAAGGAGAUAAGUGGUUUUCAGUCAUAGAUCUAGCAAAUGCAUUCUUCUUCAGCCCUCUGGAAGAGAAGUGUUGGUAAAUGCUUGUUUUUACAUUUUAGGAGAAACAAAAUAGUUCCACAUGAGUUCUUCAAGUAUUCACAAGGUCCUGUGAUCUUUCAUCUGUGCAUCAUUCAAAUGUGGGAGAAAUUAGCCUGCACAUCCAGGAAACAUGUCUCAUCAUAUAUGGAUCACGGCCAAAUCUGGGGGAUUCUGAGAAACAACUGUGUCAGCAAACAGGAAGUUUUGGCUGCAAUCCAACAGGAAGGAUUGAAAGUCAAUACACAAGAAGUUCACUUUCAACAUCCUCAAAGGCAUCUAAUUGUUCAGGACAUACUGAGUAUCUGCACUUACAGAAAUCAAGCCUCAAGUGGAACUCCCCUGAAAGCAAGGCACCAGGAAGCCAAGAUUAGUUUUCAGAAAUUACCAUCACAGAUGGCUUCCUGCAAUACAAAGAAGGCUCCUGGCAAGGCGGUUUGCUGGAUAACAUUCGAAUUGGAUGUGAUGGAAUUUCAAGGUGAGAUCAGUAUCUGGAACCAUGAUGCAAUUUAUGCUGUUAUCAUUUCAUGA
This is a long non-coding RNA of Cairina moschata (Muscovy duck), 1198 nucleotides long. Lineage: Eukaryota; Metazoa; Chordata; Aves; Anseriformes; Anatidae. The record is from Ensembl.